RNAcentral lists this ribosomal RNA (406 nucleotides) under uncultured bacterium. RNAcentral describes it as "bacterial SSU rRNA". It matches the Rfam family "Bacterial small subunit ribosomal RNA", at positions 28 to 431 of the family's 1533-position model. The record is from RNAcentral.
GAUGAACGCUAGCGGCAGGCUUAAUACAUGCAAGUCGAGGGGCAGCGGGAGUAGCAAUACUUGCCGGCGACCGGCGCACGGGUGCGUAACACGUAUGUAAUCUGCCCAUCACAGGAGGAUAGCCCGGAGAAAUUCGGAUUAAUACUCCAUAAUAGAAGAUGAAGCAUUUUAUUUUCUUGAAAGUUCCGACGGUGAUGGAUGAACAUGCGACUGAUUAGUUUGUUGGUGAGGUAACGGCUCACCAAGACUACGAUCAGUAGGGGUACUGAGAGGUUAAACCCCCACACUGGUACUGAGACACGGACCAGACUCCUACGGGAGGCAGCAGUAAGGAAUAUUGGACAAUGGCCGCAAGGCUGAUCCAGCCAUGCCGCGUGCAGGAAGACGGACCUAUGGUUUGUAAACU